GAACGGUAACAUUGGUUGCUUGCAACCAGAUGACGAGUGGCGCACGGGUGCGGAACGCGUAUCGAACCUGCCCCCUUCAGGAGGAUAGCCCAUGGAAACGUGGAUUAAUACUCCAUAGCGACAUUUCAUCGCAUGAUGAUAUGUUUAAAGAUUUAUCGGAAGGGGAUGGCGAUGCGUACCAUUAGUUAGUUGGUAGGGUAACGGCCUAUCAAGGCAGCGAUGGUUAGGGGCCCUGAGAGGGGGAUCCCCCACACUGGUACUGAGACACGGACCAGACUCCUACGGGAGGCAGCAGUGAGGAAUAUUGGACAAUGGUCGGGAGACUGAUCCAGCCAUGCCGCGUGCAGGAUGACUGCCCUAUGGGUUGUAAACUGCUUUUGUACGGGAAGAAACCUGUCCACGUGUGGACAGCUGACGGUACCGUAAGAAUAAGGACCGGCUAACUCCGUGCCAGCAGCCGCGGUAAUACGGAGGGUCCGAGCGUUAUCCGGAAUCAUUGGGUUUAAAGGGUCCGUAGGCGGGCCUGUAAGUCAGGGGUGAAAGGCCACGGCUCAACCGUGGGACCGCCCUUGAUACUGCAGGUCUUGAGUCAUGGUGGGGUCGCCGGAACAUGUGGUGUAGCGGUGAAAUGCAUAGAUAUCACAUAGAACACCGAUCGCGAAGGCAGGUGGCCAACCAUGAACUGACGCUGAUGGACGAAAGCGUGGGGAGCGAACGGGAUUAGAUACCCCGGUAGUCCACGCCGUAAACGAUGGAUACUAGCUGUCGGGCCUUCGGGCUCGGCGGCCAAGCGAAAGUGAUAAGUAUCCCA
This 811-nucleotide ribosomal RNA is filed under the name uncultured bacterium. Its description in RNAcentral is "bacterial SSU rRNA". It matches the Rfam family "Bacterial small subunit ribosomal RNA", at positions 64 to 871 of the family's 1533-position model. The record is from RNAcentral.